Molecule: ribosomal RNA, 421 nt
Filed under: uncultured bacterium
Lineage: Bacteria
Description: bacterial SSU rRNA
Rfam family: Bacterial small subunit ribosomal RNA
Source: RNAcentral
GAGGAAUAUUGGGCAAUGCCCGCAAGGGUGACCCAGCAACGCCGCGUGGAGGAUGAAUGUCGUAAGAUUGUAAACUCCUGUUAGAGGGGAAGAAUAGUACCGGUUGGACCGGUAUAUGACUGUACCCUCAGAGAAAGCCCCGGCUAACUACGUGCCAGCAGCCGCGGUAAUACGUAGGGGGCAAGCGUUGUCCGGAUGUACUGGGUGUAAAGGGCGCGCAGGCGGGAUAAAAAGUCAGUGGUGAAAUCCUACAGCUUAACUGUAGAACUGCCUUUGAUACUUUUAUUCUUGAGUUCGGGAGAGAGAGACGGAAUUCCAGGUGUAGUGGUGAAAUACAUAGAUAUCUGGAAGAACACCAGUUGCGAAGGCGGUCUCUUGGUCCGACACUGACGCUGAGGCGCGAAAGCGUGGGGAGCAAACA